This 253-nucleotide ribosomal RNA is filed under the name uncultured bacterium. RNAcentral describes it as "partial 16S ribosomal RNA". It matches the Rfam family "Bacterial small subunit ribosomal RNA", at positions 524 to 776 of the family's 1533-position model. The record is from RNAcentral.
UACGAAGGGGGCUAGCGUUGCUCGGAAUGACCGGGCGUAAAGCGUGCGUAGACGGUUACAUAAGUCGGGUGUGAAAGCCCCGGGCUCAACCUGGGAAUUGCAUUCGAGACUGCGUAGCUAGGGUGCGGAAGAGGGAAGCGGAAUUUCCGGUGUAGCGGUGAAAUGCGUAGAUAUCGGAAGGAACACCAGUGGCGAAAGCGGCUUCCUGGUCCAGCACCGACGUUCAGGCACGAAAGCGUGGGGAGCAAACAGG